GCGGGCAUUUUGAUCCACUUCAUCUCGGAAAGCUCUUAUUCGGAGAAUAAAAGCGUGCAGAAUAACAGCUAAUAUUAAUGGAUCAUUCUAUUCAAGAGAAAGUCAACUGGAACUUGGAUGUUUUCAUAACUGGCUUAAAGAUGAACAAAUUGAUAAAGAAACCCUCCUGCUGGACAUCCAAUUCCAAAAGUGCACACCACACUGUUUUCUACAACUCCCAGGAAAAGAAUCCUCUUCAGUAAGACUGCUCCGUGGAUAUUUUAGGUUAAGCAGUGCUGAAACCGAAAGAACUAACACUAUUUAAAAUGUUUUGUGAGUUUAUAUGAAGAGGAAAGUUACGGUGUCCCUUUUUCACAUCCAUAACGCUUGUUGAUUUCUUUUUUUAUAGAAAACUUGUGCAUAGACUUAUAUUUUAACAUAUA
This is a long non-coding RNA of Triplophysa dalaica, 422 nucleotides long. RefSeq lists it as uncharacterized. The record is from RefSeq and is a predicted model, not a curated record. The transcript is spliced from 3 exons. NCBI's taxonomy places the organism in Eukaryota, Metazoa, Chordata, Actinopteri, Cypriniformes, Nemacheilidae.